AACCUAUCAGCUGUGUUACAGGGAAACGUAAUAAUCAGUUUCUUAGGCCUUGCUUCAAGUGUUAUUCACUUGCUUGAACUGAAGGCUUGAAAAUAUUUGAUAGUAUUACUGAAAGGGAAGCUGAAGAAGAGGAGUUGGGUAAUUUUCUCCAGCCUCAGUUAGGUGGAAAGUCAUGGAUCUGUUUUCUACUGCUCUCUCCAGGAAGGUAAUGUCAACCUGAUCCAAAAUGUGUGACUUCAGACAUAGCUGUUGCUUAGCAGGCCAUGAUGCUCCAGAGUGUGAAUAUCCGUCAAUUACGCAGCAUUAGUCAGCCCCUGAGCGAGCAUGCUGCAGGUGAUGGAAACAAACAGGGAAGAAUGAGGGACAGGGCUGCCUCCAUUCACAGGCAUUACUCUUUGGAGCAUGAAGCAGGUGGCACAUCCCUAGAUGGAUCAAAGUCAAGCCACCAGGUGCUUCUGGCAACAUUCCAGGACUUCUGAGCUCCCCAAGAGGCUUUUCGGCAACUCUGGACAUCUGGAGGGAUGUGCUGAAUUCCCACAAAUGGGGAGGUCCUGUGUGUUCAUGAGAAGCAGAGAUCAUCCUGCAAGGAAUAUGUUCAGAGCAUGGAUUCUCGGAGCUUAACCUGGCUUUCAUCAAUGCAGUUUAGAAUUUUUGUAUGAUCUAUUUGAAGCCAGCUGAGCUUCAUAGAAUAAUGUAUAUCUGGUGAGGCUGUGACCCUUAAACUUUCAUUGCAAUAGCCAAAAUAUGAUGUUCUUUUCAAUUAAAUGCAAAUAUCUUGUAAACAUGGAAACAAUGUUGGUUAGAAUCCUGAUUAUGAAAGAGGAUAUUUUUCUAAUUCUGUGUGGAAUUAUCAAGGCUCUUC
This is a non-coding RNA of Zonotrichia albicollis (white-throated sparrow), 862 nucleotides long. The record is from RefSeq and is a predicted model, not a curated record. Lineage: Eukaryota; Metazoa; Chordata; Aves; Passeriformes; Passerellidae.